CGCCUUUAAACUCGCCCUCGCUCCUACUAUACCCAGAAAGAGAUGGCUAGGGAAAGCAGCUGUUUGGCACGCGUGGCCGCCGGGGCGGCAGUCGGCGGCGCUGUUGGUGGCGCUGUAGGUGCUGUAUGGGGCACUGUGGAGGCUAUUAGAUACAAGGUGCCCGGUCUUUUGAAAAUCAGGCACAUUGGACAGACAACUGUUGGCAGUGCAGCAAUCUUUGGUCUUUUUCUGGGGGCAGGAAGUUUGAUACACUGUGGAAAGUCUUAUUAGUCAUUUCUAGAAUUGAUGAAUAAGUAAUGUUAUUUUUCUUUUUUAGUGGGGGAGGGAGGUCUGGAAAUGGACCAUGUGCAUCGAACCUUGUUCUAGUGUUUCAAAAGUAUUAUGCUGAAAUUAACUUUUGUCCUUGCUAUUGAGGAUUUGUUUUUUAGACUGCUGAAGUCUGAAUGGUUGAAUGAAAUGCUAUUUUCCUUU
Molecule: RNA transcript, 471 nt
Organism: Ipomoea nil (Japanese morning glory)
Lineage: Eukaryota; Viridiplantae; Streptophyta; Magnoliopsida; Solanales; Convolvulaceae
Gene name: reactive oxygen species modulator 1
Exons: 4
Source: RefSeq, a predicted model, not a curated record